AUACUCUGGUUUCUCUUCAGAUCGUAUAAAUCUUUCGCCUUUUACUAAAGAUUUCCGUGGAGAGGAACAACUCUGAGUGUUACUCAAUUUUUUGAGGUCUCGUUUUAUACGAGACU
This 116-nucleotide small nuclear RNA is filed under the name Octodon degus (degu). RNAcentral describes it as "U5 spliceosomal RNA (ENSODEG00000025635.1)". It matches the Rfam family "U5 spliceosomal RNA". Rfam says of the family: U5 RNA is a component of both types of known spliceosome. The precise function of this molecule is unknown, though it is known that the 5' loop is required for splice site selection and p220 binding, and that both the 3' stem-loop and the Sm site are important for Sm protein binding and cap methylation. The record is from Rfam by way of RNAcentral. Lineage: Eukaryota; Metazoa; Chordata; Mammalia; Rodentia; Octodontidae.